UAUUAACAGAAAGCUGAGCUGACUGAAGAAGCAAAGAAUUACCAAAAAUAUCUGAACAAAAUCAACCAAUAUUAUCAGUUCUCAUUGCCCCAAUAUGUAAAAGCAGUUUAUCAAUAUCACAAAAUUAUGAAACCAUGGAAAAACAUGAAGACAAAUGCUUACCAAGUUGUCCACACUCUGGUAUUUUUAAGAUUCUUGAAUUAACUGCUUCUACUUUACUUUGAAAACAAUUUCCUCAUCUACUUCAUAGGUUGUAUUGAGUCCAUCAAGCAUAAACACAAAUAGUUAUUAAAAAUCUUACUAU
Long non-coding RNA from Sapajus apella (tufted capuchin), 304 nucleotides. RefSeq lists it as uncharacterized. The record is from RefSeq and is a predicted model, not a curated record. The transcript is spliced from 4 exons. NCBI's taxonomy places the organism in Eukaryota, Metazoa, Chordata, Mammalia, Primates, Cebidae.